GAUGAACGCUGGCGGCGUGCCUAAUACAUGCAAGUCGAGCGAACAGAUAAGGAGCUUGCUCCUUUGACGUUAGCGGCGGACGGGUGAGUAACACGUGGGUAACCUACCUAUAAGACUGGAAUAACUCCGGGAAACCGGGGCUAAUGCAGGAUAACAUGUUGAACCGCAUGGUUCUACAGUGAAAGGCGGCUUUGCUGUCACUUAUAGAUGGACCCGCGCCGUAUUAGCUAGUUGGUGAGGUAACGGCUCACCAAGGCAACGAUACGUAGCCGACCUGAGAGGGUGAUCGGCCACACUGGAAUUGAGACACGGUCCAGACUCCUACGGGAGGCAGCAGUAGGGAAUCUUCCGCAAUGGGCGAAAGCCUGACGGAGCAACGCCGCGUGAGUGAUGAAGGUCUUCGGAUCGUAAAACUCUGUUAUUAGGGAAGAACAAAUGCGUAAGUAACUGUGCGCGUCUUGACGGUACCUAAUCAGAAAGCCACGGCUAACUACGUG
This 497-nucleotide ribosomal RNA is filed under the name uncultured bacterium. RNAcentral describes it as "partial 16S ribosomal RNA". It matches the Rfam family "Bacterial small subunit ribosomal RNA", at positions 28 to 507 of the family's 1533-position model. The record is from RNAcentral.